GACGAACGCUGGCGGCGUGCUUAACACAUGCAAGUCGAACGGUAAGGCCCUUCGGGGUACACGAGUGGCGAACGGGUGAGUAACACGUGGGUGAUCUGCCCUGCACUUCGGGAUAAGCCUGGGAAACUGGGUCUAAUACCGGAUAGGACUCCGGACUGCAUGGUCUGGGGUGGAAAGCUUUUGCAGUGUGGGAUGGGCCCGCGGCCUAUCAGCUUGUUGGUGGGGUGAUGGCCUACCAAGGCGACGACGGGUAGCCGGCCGGAGAGGGUGACCGGCCACACUGGGACGGAGAUACGGCCCAGACUCCUACGCGAGGCAGCAGUGGGGAAUAUUGCACAAUGGGCGCAAGCCUGAUGCAGCGACGCCGCGUGAGGGAUGACGGCCUUCGGGUUGUAAACCUCUUUCAGCACCGACGAAGCGCAAGUGACGGUAGGUGCAGAAGAAGGACCGGCCAACUACGUGCCAGCAGCCGCAGUAA
RNAcentral lists this ribosomal RNA (478 nucleotides) under uncultured bacterium. RNAcentral's name for it is "partial 16S ribosomal RNA". It matches the Rfam family "Bacterial small subunit ribosomal RNA", at positions 28 to 523 of the family's 1533-position model. The record is from RNAcentral.